This 257-nucleotide ribosomal RNA is filed under the name uncultured bacterium. RNAcentral describes it as "partial 16S ribosomal RNA". It matches the Rfam family "Bacterial small subunit ribosomal RNA", at positions 355 to 611 of the family's 1533-position model. The record is from RNAcentral.
UAAGGAAUAUUGCUCAAUGGGAGAAAUCCUGAAGCAGCAACGCCGCGUGGAGGAUGAAGGGUCUAUGACUUGUAAACUCCUGUAAAGAAGGAAAAAAUUCCCAUUAGAUGGGAGAUGAUGGUACUUCUGGAGUAAGCCCCGGCUAACUACGUGCCAGCAGCCGCGGUAAUACGUAGGGGGCAAGCGUUGUCCGGAUUUACUGGGUGUAAAGGGUUCUCAGGCGGAUUUGUAAGUCAGAGGUGAAAUCUUACAGCUUA